Molecule: ribosomal RNA, 503 nt
Filed under: Botrytis cinerea
Lineage: Eukaryota; Fungi; Ascomycota; Leotiomycetes; Helotiales; Sclerotiniaceae
Description: eukaryotic LSU rRNA
Rfam family: 5.8S ribosomal RNA (bases 179-332)
Source: RNAcentral
UUCCGUAGGUGAACCUGCGGAAGGAUCAUUACAGAGUUCAUGCCCGAAAGGGUAGACCUCCCACCCUUGUGUAUUAUUACUUUGUUGCUUUGGCGAGCUGCCUUCGGGCCUUGUAUGCUCGCCAGAGAAUACCAAAACUCUUUUUAUUAAUGUCGUCUGAGUACUAUAUAAUAGUUAAAACUUUCAACAACGGAUCUCUUGGUUCUGGCAUCGAUGAAGAACGCAGCGAAAUGCGAUAAGUAAUGUGAAUUGCAGAAUUCAGUGAAUCAUCGAAUCUUUGAACGCACAUUGCGCCCCUUGGUAUUCCGGGGGGCAUGCCUGUUCGAGCGUCAUUUCAACCCUCAAGCUUAGCUUGGUAUUGAGUCUAUGUCAGUAAUGGCAGGCUCUAAAAUCAGUGGCGGCGCCGCUGGGUCCUGAACGUAGUAAUAUCUCUCGUUACAGGUUCUCGGUGUGCUUCUGCCAAAACCCAAAUUUUUCUAUGGUUGACCUCGGAUCAGGUAGGG